Molecule: ribosomal RNA, 233 nt
Filed under: uncultured archaeon
Lineage: Archaea
Description: partial 16S ribosomal RNA
Rfam family: Archaeal small subunit ribosomal RNA
Source: RNAcentral
CCCUACGGGGCGCAGCAGGCGCGAAACCUUUACAAUGCGGGCAACCGUGAUAAGGGAACCUCGAGUGCCUGUAAACGCAGGCUGUUCAGGUGUUUAAAACGCACCUGGAGAAAGGGCCGGGCAAGACCGGUGCCAGCCGCCGCGGUAAUACCGGCGGCUCGAGUGGUGGCCGCUUUUAUUGGGCUUAAAGCGUUCGUAGCUGGGUUGUUAAGUCUCUUGGGAAAUCUGGCGGC